Molecule: ribosomal RNA, 242 nt
Filed under: uncultured bacterium
Lineage: Bacteria
Also listed under: 1 other name
Description: partial 16S ribosomal RNA
Rfam family: Bacterial small subunit ribosomal RNA
Source: RNAcentral
CACGCCGUAAACGAUGAUUACUAACUGUUUGCGAUAUAAUGUAAGUGGUACAGAGAAAUCGUUAAGUAAUCCACCUGGGGAGUACGCCGGCAACGGUGAAACUCAAAGGAAUUGACGGGGGCCCGCACAAGCGGAGGAACAUGUGGUUUAAUUCGAUGAUACGCGAGGAACCUUACCCGGGCUUGAAAUGCAGAGGAAUAUAGUGGAAACAUUAUCGCCAGCAAUGGUCUCUGUGUAGGUGC